RNAcentral lists this ribosomal RNA (496 nucleotides) under uncultured bacterium. RNAcentral's name for it is "partial 16S ribosomal RNA". It matches the Rfam family "Bacterial small subunit ribosomal RNA", at positions 28 to 506 of the family's 1533-position model. The record is from RNAcentral.
GAUGAACGCUGGCGGCGUGCCUAAUACAUGCAAGUCGAGCGAACAGACGAGGAGCUUGCUCCUCUGACGUUAGCGGCGGACGGGUGAGUAACACGUGGAUAACCUCCCUAUAAGACUGGGAUAACUUCGGGAAACCGGAGCUAAUACCGGAUAAUAUAUUGAACCGCAUGGUUCAAUAGUGAAAGACGGUUUUGCUGUCACUUCUAGAUGGAUCCGCGCCGCAUUAGCUAGUUGGUAGGGUAACGGCUUACCAAGGCAACGAUGCGUAGCCGACCUGAGAGGGUGAUCGGCCACAGUGGAACUGAGACACGGUCCAGACUCCUACGGGAGGCAGCAGUAGGGAAUCGUCCGCAAUGGGCGAAAGCAUGACGGAGCAACGCCGCGUGAGUGAUGAAGGUCUUCGGAUCGUAAAACGCUGUUAUUAGGGAAGAACAAAUGUGUAAGUAACUAUGCACGUCUUGACGGUACCUAAUCAGAAAGCCACGGCUAACUACGU